This 277-nucleotide long non-coding RNA is filed under the name Homo sapiens (human). Its description in RNAcentral is "non-protein coding lnc-NPHP4-3:1". Lineage: Eukaryota; Metazoa; Chordata; Mammalia; Primates; Hominidae. The record is from RNAcentral.
CCUGAAGUCAGGUGCUGUCAGGUUGUACCUGCAUAAAGCUGGUCAAAGACUCAAUGAUCCUCACCACAGUGGCAGGAAGAAGAGUGAAUCAAGAGGUAUCCAAGAGCAGCAUGAAAACACACUAAUACAUGGACUAUGUGCAGAUCGGCAAACAUACCCAGCCCUGUUGUCCUGAAGCUUCCACUCCAGGUGAUUGUGUAUCUUGGGAGAUACCUGUGACCAAACUGGCAGGUAGGUUGUGGAGCAGCAGAGACUUCAGCCUUGUUGCUUACAGCUG